This 455-nucleotide ribosomal RNA is filed under the name uncultured bacterium. Its description in RNAcentral is "bacterial SSU rRNA". It matches the Rfam family "Bacterial small subunit ribosomal RNA", at positions 340 to 786 of the family's 1533-position model. The record is from RNAcentral.
UACGGAAGGCAGCAGUGGGGAAUAUUGCACAAUGGGCGCAAGCCUGAUGCAGCCAUGCCGCGUGUAUGAAGAAGGCCUUCGGGUUGUAAAGUACUUUCAGUCGUGAGGAAGGUGUUAAGGUUAAUAACCUUAGCAAUUGACGUUAGCGACAGAAGAAGCACCGGCUAACUCCGUGCCAGCAGCCGCGGUAAUACGGAGGGUGCGAGCGUUAAUCGGAAUUACUGGGCGUAAAGGGCACGCAGGCGGUUAAUUAAGUUGGAUGUGAAAUCCCCGGGCUUAACCUGGGAAUGGCAUUCAAGCUGGUUAGCUAGAGUCUUGUAGAGGGGGUAGAAUUCCGAUGUGUAGCGGUGAAAUGCGUAGAGAUGUGGAGGAAUACCGGUGGCGAAGGCGGCCCCUGGGACAAAGACUGACGCUCAUGUGCGAAAGCGUGGGGAGCGAAACAGGGAUUAGAUACC